AAUAAAUACAGUUUUAUAUUAUUUAUCCCCAACGUUUGAUCGUUCGUCUUAUUUAAAAAAAUUUUAUGAUUACUAUUUUUAUUGUUAUUAGAUGAUAAAACAUAAAAAGUAUUUUAUGUGUGACUAAUUUUUUUAAAUUUUUUCAUAAAUUUUUCAAAUAAGACGGACGGUCAAACAUUGGACACGGAUUUUUACGGCUGCACUUAUU
Non-coding RNA from Oryza barthii, 208 nucleotides. NCBI's taxonomy places the organism in Eukaryota, Viridiplantae, Streptophyta, Magnoliopsida, Poales, Poaceae. The record is from Rfam.